CAGCCGCCGCGGUAAUACGAGGGGGGCAAGCGUUGUUCGGAAUUACUGGGCGUAGAGCGCACGUAGGCGGCUUGGUAAGUUAGAGGUGAAAGCCUGGAGCUCAACUCCAGAAUUGCCUUUAAGACUGCCGAGCUAGCAGGUGAGAGAGGUAAGUGGAAUUCCGAGUGUAGAGGUGAAAUUCGUAGAUAUUCGGAAGAACACCAGUGGCGAAGGCGGCUUACUGGCUCAUACUGGACGCUGAGGUGCGAAAGCGUGGGGAGCAAACAGGAUUAGAUACCCCUGUAGUCCCUGUCUCUUAUAC
Molecule: ribosomal RNA, 301 nt
Filed under: uncultured bacterium
Lineage: Bacteria
Description: partial 16S ribosomal RNA
Rfam family: Bacterial small subunit ribosomal RNA
Source: RNAcentral